Homo sapiens (human) is the source of this 3738-nucleotide long non-coding RNA. Ensembl annotates it as long intergenic non-protein coding RNA 1492. The record is from Ensembl. Lineage: Eukaryota; Metazoa; Chordata; Mammalia; Primates; Hominidae.
UAUAGAGCUAUGUUACAUUGAAUGGCAAAAGUGACUUUGUAGAGGUGUCGUUUAUCCGGAUGCUGCAUGAUUAAGACCACCAUACUCUUAUCAAGCAUACAGGUGUUAAUGUCUAUUUUAAAGAGGAGAGAACUCAAGAAGUUCUGUAGAAACUGCUUUCUUCAUCAUAUCUCAAAGGAUUUGCUGAGGAUUUCAGAGGUGCCACGAGUUGAGAGAAGACUUCGGACAUUUCACUUAAUGCUGAAAAUUCACUCUACUGCCACUACUCAGGACUUCUGAUGGGCAUGAAAAUCCAAGCCUGCUUUAUGAUAUUAACCUCUGAAUUUCAUAAACCGCUUAAAACUUUAGAAUGUCCAGAAAACACUGGUAGAAUACGGACACAUGAGACAAGGCCAGAAAGGAAGUCAAUAAAAUGUGAUUACUAAGCAAAUUACCACCAGAGAAGCAGAAGGAAAUCCCUCUUCAAUAUUUUGAGAGACAGUAAAGAACAUUCCCUGGAGUUAGGACAAAUGAAGAGCAAGAAGUUUCAUCUUGCUCUGUCAUCCAGGCUGGAGUGCAGGGGCACCAUCUCGGCUCACUGAAACCUCCACUUCCCGGGUUCAAGCGAUUCUCCUGCCUCAGCCUCCUGAGUAACUGGGGUUACAGAGUGAAUAGACAACCUACAGAAUGGGAGAAAAUACUUGCAAGCUAUGUAUCCAACAAAGGACUAAUAUCGAGAAUUUACAAGGAACUCAAACAAAACUCAACAAGAGUAAAACAACCCCAAUAAAAAGGAAAGUGAACACAUUUGGAAAUAUUGGCUCAGCAUUGCAGCUAUACCCUUUAGACAGGAAACACACUUUCCAGUUCUCCUUGACAGAGAGGCUGAAGCUGCUUAUGUGUCUGGAAUUGGUGGGUUCUUGGUCUCACUGACUUCAAGAAUGAAGCCACGGACCCUCGCGUGAAGCAAUACAGGCAUUCAUGUCUGGACAAAAGGAAUAAGUGGACUACAUGCAGAGGCAGAGUGAGGCUGGAAAAUACAUCCUGCCAUGGGUAUACAACCCAAGCUAUCUAUGUAGAUUUUUUUUGUUUUUUUGAGACGGAGUCUCGCUCUGUUGCCAGGCUGGAGUGCAGUGGCGGGGUCUCGGCUCACUGCAACCUCCACCUCCUGGGUUCAAGCGAUUCUCCUGCCUCAGCCUCCCAAGUAGCUGGGAUUACAGGCAUGUGCCACCAUGCCUGGCUAAUUUUUGUAUUUUCAGUAGAGAGGGGGUUUCACCAUGGUAGCCAGGCUGGUCUUGCACUCCUGACCUCGUGAUCCACCCGCCUCGGCCUCCCAAAGUGCUGGGAUUGCAGGCAUGAGCCACCACACCUGGCCUAUGUAGAUUUUUUUGUUGCCUUUUGAUUUUUUUUUUUUUUGCUUAUUCUGAUUCUAAUUGUACAAAUCAAUAAUAAAAAUGUUAAAAACAGACUUAAAAUAUUCAUGACUAUGCAAAUGAUUCAAAUAUAGUUAUUUAAAGUUUCUUUCUUUUUUAAAUUGGGACAUGGUCUUGCUCUUCAACCCAAGGCUGGGUGGCAUAGGUGAAAGAGCAAGACCAAGGCAUGACCAAGGCUCACUGCAGCCUUGACCUCCUGAUCUCGUUAUCCUCCCACUUCAGCCUCCCAAGUAGCUGGGUAUAGGCAUGCACCACAGUCCCCAGCUAAUAUUUUAAUUUUUUGUGUGUGGAGACAUGGUCUUGCCCUGUUGCCCAGGCUGGUCUUGAAUUCCUGAGUUCAAGUGAUCCUUGCUUCUCAGGCUCCCUAAGUGCUAAGAUUACGGGUGUGGGUCCCCAGCCAAAACAAUCUUCCUAGGGAAGCCCUCACAUUUUCAAGGGUUUUACCUUUAGUACCUCCAUAAAUUCGUAUCAAGCAACAAAAUGUACUGUCAAGGAACAAAAAAUAUAAAGGGACCUUAAAUGCAUAUUUCUAAGACCAAGAAGUCAGUCUGAAAUGGCUACAUACUAUAUAAUCCUAUAUGACUCCUAUAUGAAAGAUAUGACAUUCUGGAAAAGGCAGAACAAUAGAGUAAAAAGAUCAAUGGUUGCUUGGGUUUGGUAUGCAUGUGUGUUAGAGGGCAGGGUGGCUGGUGAGAGGAAUACAUAGGUGAAGCACAAGUGAUUUUUAUGGCACUGCAACUGUUCUGCAUGAUACCAUAAUAAUAAUAAAUGACAUUUUUCAUUUGUCAAAACACAUAGAAUGUACAAGAGAAAGAGUAGAACUUAAUGUAAAUUAUGAACUGUAGUUACUAUUGAUAUGUAAAUAUUGGUGUUCUAAUUGUAUCAAAUGCACCACACCAGUGAAAGACAUUAGUAAUAGGAGAAAUGUGUACGAGUUUGGGAGGUUAUAUGGCAAUUUCUGUACUAUCUGCUCUUGUUUUUAUUGUAAUUUUAAAAUUGUGCUAAAAUAAAGUUUAUUAGUUUAAUUUUCAAGAGAUUAAGAAUGUAUGUUUAAAUGUAAUAAUAUAUAUGCAGAGCUUUAUGUCUAUCCAUAUACUUCAAGCCAAAUCUACUUUUGGUGAGUUCGUCUGUUUAUAAAACACACAGAAAUAGGAAGAAAAAUAAUUGACAAAUAUUUACUAUGAAAUAACUUUAUAAGCAGUAAAUUGAAAGCACAUACAUAUAUUUUAAAAAGGCAUUUAUAUACUUAAGCAAAUUAUUUUCCAAAUAUAGAAUAUUAGCCAGCCAACAAAUAAUGUUUAAGAAAGUUUGUAAUUUUCUGAGACAAUACGGAUGAUAAAAUAUUAAGUAAAGAACAACUUUGUUGUAAUGUGAUAUAUAACAUGACAUAAAUAAAAAGAAAAAAUCUAGAUUAAUGUGUAGUCAAUAAGAAUUGCCAUGAAACAUUGUCAAACUGAUAUUUGAAAUUUAUUGUUUUAAAGCCCCUUAUAACUAAUAUUCUGUUUUUCCAUAUAAUCCUAUUAAUGUAUAAAUAAAAUCUUCUAUUUACCAAUUGGAUAUUAAAUCAAAAUAAUGUAAAUUAACAUCUACAAAUCAUAACUUUUCUUAAUGUUUAUUCUUUGAGAAUACAUAGUAGUUGCACAUAUUUAAGGCAUACAUGUGAUAUUUUGAUAUGUGUGUAUCACGUGUAAUGAUCAAAUCAGAGUAAUUGGGAUAUCCAUCACCUGAAACAUUUAUCAUAGCUUUAAAGGGCCAAAGCCAGGAUUUAACUCUCUUAGAUUCCAAAGUCCACGUUCUUAGAAAUAUUAAUUAAAAUAAUGACAAUGUUUGCCUCUGGGUUAUGCUAUUAUGAGAAAUUUAAUAUUUUUAAAGCAGAAAUUGAAAUUUUUGUAAUAGGAAGAUAUUUAAUAAAUAUGGAAAUGUAUAACUGAUUUUUUCUCCUAUGUCAUUAUUGUUGAAAGAAAAUCUUCAUAUCUUACGUAAAUAUAUUCUAGAUCAUCUGACAGAUUUUAUAAUUUCUCAUUAUAAAUUAAGAUUUUUUUUUAUUAUCUUCGGUGGUGAAAAAUACGCUCGCCAAACUGACAGGAAAAUGUAAUGUAAUGCUAAUUGCUUAAUUGAUUAUUACUAGGAGUCCACAAUUUUCAGUGCUUUUCUUUCUAUUUCUGUGUAUUUUAUAAAGAGACAAAUUCACCAAAAAUCAGUUUGGCUUGAAGUAUAUGGACACACAUAAAGCUCUGCACAUGUAUUAUUACAUUUAAACAUACAUUCUUAAUCUGUUGGAAAUUAAACUAAUAAACUUUAUUUGAGCACAAUUUUAAAUAUGAAA